UGGGGUGUAAACCAGUAUGAGUUUGAAA
Molecule: non-coding RNA, 28 nt
Filed under: Homo sapiens (human)
Lineage: Eukaryota; Metazoa; Chordata; Mammalia; Primates; Hominidae
Source: RNAcentral